AAUCUUCCGCAAUGGACGAAAGUCUGACGGAGCAACGCCGCGUGAGUGAUGAAUGNCUNNGGCUCNUNAAACUCUGUUGCUAGNNNNNAACAAGUACCGNUCGAAUAGGGCGGUACCUUGACGGUACCUAACCAGAAAGCCACGGCUAACUACGUGCCGGCAGCCGCGGUAAUACGUAGGUGGCAAGCGUUAUCCGGAAUUAAUGGGCGUAAAGCGCGCGCAGUCGGUUUCUUAAGUCUGAUGUUAAAGCCCACGGCUCAACCGUGGAGGGUCAUUGGAAACUGGGAAGCUUGAGUGCAGAAGAGGAGAGUGGAAUUCCAUGUGUAGCGGUGAAAUGCGUAGAGAUAUGGAGGAACACCAGUGGCGAAGGCGACUCUCUGGUCUGCAACUGACGCUGAGGCGCGAAAGCGUGGGGAGCGAACA
RNAcentral lists this ribosomal RNA (423 nucleotides) under uncultured bacterium. Its description in RNAcentral is "partial 16S ribosomal RNA". It matches the Rfam family "Bacterial small subunit ribosomal RNA", at positions 360 to 774 of the family's 1533-position model. The record is from RNAcentral.